Molecule: ribosomal RNA, 794 nt
Filed under: uncultured bacterium
Lineage: Bacteria
Description: bacterial SSU rRNA
Rfam family: Bacterial small subunit ribosomal RNA
Source: RNAcentral
AGAGUUUGAUCCUGGCUCAGGAUGAACGCUAGCUACAGGCUUAACACAUGCAAGUCGAGGGGCAGCAUGAUUCCAGCUUGCUGGAAUUGAUGGCGACCGGCGCACGGGUGAGUAACGCGUAUCCAACCUACCGUAUACUCAGGGAUAGCCUUCCGAAAGGGAGAUUAACACCUGAUAGUAUCUAUAGACCUCAUAGUCUUAAGAUUAAAUGUAAAGGUAUAUGAUGGGGAUGCGUUCCAUUAGAUAGUAGGUGGGGUAACGGCCCACCUAGUCGACGAUGGAUAGGGGUUCUGAGAGGAAGGUCCCCCACAUUGGAACUGAGACACGGUCCAAACUCCUACGGGAGGCAGCAGUGAGGAAUAUUGGUCAAUGGAUGAGAAUCUGAACCAGCCAAGUAGCGUGAAGGAUGACGGCCCUACGGGUUGUAAACUUCUUUUGAAAGGGAAUAAAGUGUGGUACGUGUACCAUAUUGUAUGUACCUUUGGAAUAAGCAUCGGCUAACUCCGUGCCAGCAGCCGCGGUAAUACGGAGGAUGCGAGCGUUAUCCGGAUUUAUUGGGUUUAAAGGGUGCGUAGGCGGACGCUUAAGUCAGUUGUGAAAGUUCGAGGCUCAACCUUGGAAUUGCAAUUGAUACUGGUAGUCUAGAGAUUACAUAAGGUAGGCGGAAUUCGUGGUGUAGCGGUGAAAUGCUUAGAUAUCACGAAGAACUCNCAUUGCGAAGGCAGCUUGCCGGGGUACAUCUGACGCUGAGGCACGAAAGUAUGGGUAUCAAACAGGAAUAGAUACCCUGGUAG